Molecule: ribosomal RNA, 274 nt
Filed under: uncultured bacterium
Lineage: Bacteria
Description: partial 16S ribosomal RNA
Rfam family: Bacterial small subunit ribosomal RNA
Source: RNAcentral
AUACGGAGGGUGCGAACGUUAAUCGGAAUUACAGGGCGUAAAGCGCGCGUAGGCGGUUCGACAAGUGGGAUGUGAAAGCCCAGGGCUUAACCUUGGAACUGCAUUCCAAACUGUCGGACUAGAGUAUGGUAGAGGGAGGUAGAAUUUCCUGUGUAGCGGUGAAAUGCGUAGAUAUAGGAAGGAAUACCGGUGGCGAAGGCGGCCUCCUGGACCAAUACUGACGCUGAGGUGCGAAAGCGUGGGGAGCAAACAGGAUUAGAUACCCCAGUAGUCC